GACGAACGCUGGCGGCGUGCUUAACACAUGCAAGUCGAACGGAAAGGCCCUGCUUUUGUGGGGUGCUCGAGUGGCGAACGGGUGAGUAACACGUGAGUAACCUGCCCUUGACUUUGGGAUAACUUCAGGAAACUGGGGCUAAUACCGGAUAGGAGCUCCUGCUGCAUGGUGGGGGUUGGAAAGUUUCGGCGGUUGGGGAUGGACUCGCGGCUUAUCAGCUUGCUGGUGGGGUAGUGGCUCACCAAGGCUUUGACGGGUAGCCGGCCUGAGAGGGUGACCGGCCACAUUGGGACUGAGAUACGGCCCAGACUCCUACGGGAGGCAGCAGUGGGGAAUAUUGCACAAUGGGCGGAAGCCUGAUGCAGCAACGCCGCGUGCGGGAUGACGGCCUUCGGGUUGUAAACCGCUUUCGCCUGUGACGAAGCGUGAGUGACGGUAAUGGGUAAAGAAGCACCGGCUAACUACGUG
Molecule: ribosomal RNA, 468 nt
Filed under: uncultured bacterium
Lineage: Bacteria
Description: partial 16S ribosomal RNA
Rfam family: Bacterial small subunit ribosomal RNA
Source: RNAcentral